GACGAACGCUGGCGGCGUGCUUAACACAUGCAAGUCGAACGGAAAGGCCCUGCUUUUGUGGGGUGCUCGAGUGGCGAACGGGUGAGUAACACGUGAGUAACCUGCCCUUGACUUUGGGAUAACUUCAGGAAACUGGGGCUCAUACCGCAUAGGAUCUCCUGCUGCGUGGUGGGGGUUGGAAAGUUUCGGCGGUUGUGGAUGGACUCGCGGCUUAUCCGCUUGUUUGUGUGGUAGUGGUUUACCAAGGCUUUGACGGGUAGCCGGCCUGAGAGGGGUACCGGGCACAAGGGGACUGAGAGAGGGACCAGAAGCCUACGGGAGGCAACAGUGGGGAAUAUUGCAGAAUAGGCGGAAGCCUGAUGCAGAAAUGUCGGGUGCGGGAUGAUGGGCUUCGGGGUGUAAACCGAUUUGGACUGUGACGAAGAGGGAGUGACGGUAAUGGGUAAAAAAGCAACGGCUAACUACGUG
Molecule: ribosomal RNA, 468 nt
Filed under: uncultured bacterium
Lineage: Bacteria
Description: partial 16S ribosomal RNA
Rfam family: Bacterial small subunit ribosomal RNA
Source: RNAcentral